GCUCUAGAGAGUUGCAUUGUUCUUACAAAUAGUACAGACUCUAUUAUACCCUCUCAGAAUUAAAGAGUUAGGUUUCCAAGAACCUAACCAAUUGCUGGGCCACUUUGACAAUGAAGAAAAUGAGUCCCCUGGGUUAAAUAAAAGUGGAAAACGGACCAGAGGAGGGAGUGCUGCUGCUGCCGCUGCUCAGUCACUUCAGUCGCGUCCGACUCUGUGCGACCCCAUAGACGGCAGCCCACCAGGCUCCCCCGUCCCUGGGAUUCUCCAGGCAAGAGCACUGGAGUGGGUUGCCAUUUCCUUCUCCAAUGCAUGAAAGUGGAAAGUGAAAGUGAAGUCGCUCAGUCGUGUCCGACUCUUAGGGACCCCAUGGACUGCAGCCCACCAGGCUCCUUGGCCCAUGGGAUUUCCCAGGCAAGAGUACUGGAGUGGGGUGCCAUUGCCUUUUCCGAGGAGGGAGUACAGCUACCAUCAAAAUGAGUUGGAUUUGUGACUGACCUGUGGCUUCCCCAGGUGGCUCAGUGGUAAAAUCUGCCUACCAGUGCAGGAGUAGAGGAGACGCAGGUUUGAGCCCUGGGUCAGGAAGAUCCCCUGGAGGAGGAAACAGCAACCCACUCCAAUAUACUUGCCUGGAGAACCCCAUGGACAGAGCAGCCUGCCAGGCUACAGUCCAUGGCGUCACAGGAAGUCGGACACAACUGAGUGACUGAGUACGCACGCAUGUGACUUACGCUACUGACUUAGAGUUUGUACACUUAUUCACAGAAUAUUUAUUCAGUGCCUACCUCAUUCUCAGCACUGUGCCAGAAACUGAGGACACAACUGUGAGGAGGUCAGAAGAGGACUGUUCUCAGGAAAAAAAAAAAUCACUGUUUUUCAGCUACCAUUGUAAAAU
Bos taurus (domestic cattle) is the source of this 892-nucleotide long non-coding RNA. The record is from Ensembl. Lineage: Eukaryota; Metazoa; Chordata; Mammalia; Artiodactyla; Bovidae.